UUGUCUCUUGGAGUUCCUUUGAACGCUUCAUGCAUGAGACUAUCUAUUUGGUCUAAAAUCCAUUAGAAUAGAUAGUCCUUUCUUCAAUGAAGUGUUUGGGGGAACUCUUAGGUUCAA
This 117-nucleotide microRNA precursor is filed under the name Trifolium pratense (red clover). RNAcentral's name for it is "pre miRNA mir-395". It matches the Rfam family "mir-395 microRNA precursor family". From Rfam's summary of the family: mir-395 was identified in both Arabidopsis thaliana and Oryza sativa computationally and was later experimentally verified. mir-395 is thought to target mRNAs coding for ATP sulphurylases. The mature sequence is excised from the 3' arm of the hairpin. The record is from RNAcentral. Lineage: Eukaryota; Viridiplantae; Streptophyta; Magnoliopsida; Fabales; Fabaceae.